Molecule: ribosomal RNA, 355 nt
Filed under: Salmonella enterica subsp. enterica serovar Enteritidis
Lineage: Bacteria; Pseudomonadati; Pseudomonadota; Gammaproteobacteria; Enterobacterales; Enterobacteriaceae
Description: bacterial LSU rRNA
Rfam family: Bacterial large subunit ribosomal RNA
Source: RNAcentral
AUCCUCCAAGGCUAAAUACUCCUGACUGACCGAUAGUGAACCAGUACCGUGAGGGAAAGGCGAAAAGAACCCCGGCGAGGGGAGUGAAAAAGAACCUGAAACCGUGUACGUACAAGCAGUGGGAGCACCCUUUGGGUGUGACUGCGUACCUUUUGUAUAAUGGGUCAGCGACUUAUAUUCUGUAGCAAGGUUAACCGAAUAGGGGAGCCGGAGGGAAACCGAGUCUUAACCGGGCGUUAAGUUGCAGGGUAUAGACCCGAAACCCGGUGAUCUAGCCAUGGGCAGGUUGAAGGUUGGGUAACACUAACUGGAGGACCGAACCGACUAAUGUUGAAAAAUUAGCGGAUGACCUGUG